ACAGCUGUUUCCAAUAUAAAGUUUAAUGUCAUUGUUCCGUCUGCAGAACAACUGGAGCAACACAUGGAGCCAAUGGUGAAAUAUUACUUAGAAAUAAAAUACUAAUCUGCAAAGUUCAUAUCUCAAUUUGUGAAAAUAUAAUUUUUUUAUUGAAAACCUCAAAUUUUCAAGAAAAAAAAUCACAUCACUGUAAAAUUCAAAUCGAUGUUUUCAGAGUUGAUAUUUCAGACGAUUAUCGUUCCAUAGACAAAAACCAGAGAUCAGCUGAUCGAAUCAGCUCAUGUGUCAGUUACUCUCAUGCUUUUAUUUGAUAAAUUCAAACGUUCAAUCACAAAUUUCUUUUUCUGCCUCAGUCGACCAAACACAGUCGAUGAGUUUCUGUUUGAUUAGAAUCUAAUUAACAGCAAACAAGCAAACAAACAAACAACAGGUCACAUGUUGAAUGGGAGGUUUCCUCAUCUGGACACAUCUGGACUCCAGGGACGAAGCUUCCUGCUGAAAUUAACAGGAAUCUCUGAGAAUGAACUGAUGGAAUAAAAACAACGGACGGGUUUUCUCUGUGAAGGUCACAUGGUCACGUGUUCAUGUUUGGAUUAUUACCUGAUGGACGACGGACGGAGGACGACUCGUCCAAACUGAGGCUCCUCCUCUUCUUCUCGUCACAUCUCGAUGCCUGGAGUUCAACAUGUCUGCUUCUGUCCCUCCUCUUCCUCCUCUUCUUCCUCUUCUUCAUCUAUCUUCCACUGACGACGUGAAUCAAAAUAACUCGCCGGAGACACGGAGCUGUGAGACGCCUUCAGACAAGAGGACGUCCUGACUGAUUUUUGCACAGAGCGAAGCUACAUUAGGACUCUGAGGUACAACAAACGUUACUUGAAUCAUCGUAUGUAUAUUUACAACACGGAGUCGUUCCCGUGUCACAGAUGUUUUACUGCUCGUGAACAUCACUUUCAAACCAAAACAUAUUAUUGCAUGCCUGGAAAGUAAAAGCAUGGAAACAGAAGAAAACAAGUUUGACUCUUCGACGGCUCAACACAACAACAACAACAACAACAACAACAACAACAACAACAACAACAACAACAACAACAACAACAAGUCAUCGAUAUCAAGUUCACUCAAAUAAUUCUGUUCCACCACUGGGGUGAGUUUCUAAAUCUCUAUUUUUAAAGUGUCACACUGUCGAUGUUUUAUAUUGAGAGAAAUCGGUUAAAUCGAGAUUUAUUUAGUAAAUUUUGAAACAUUUUUGCAGAAGCUUUUUGAAUUUGUCUUUUUAUUGAUUUUCACCUUCAGCUCAGAUGAGAACUCUUGUUUUGUUCCGAUGAUUCAAACGAAUGUGCUGGAAACCAGCAAAGAAGGAGCUGAAAUUAAAUUUAUCGCAGACAUCCGACACUUUUUGUUUUGAUAAUUCUGAAUGUUUCUGAUUGUGUUUGGUUUCUUUUGGAUCAGAAUGCUGUAAUAUCUGUUAAUCAUCUACCUCAGUGUUGGCUCAUUAUCGACAGAAGCUUUAAUGACGUGGUUCUCCCUCCGUUAUCUGAACACAGGCAGACCUGGGUUUCAAAUGUCUGUGAUUUUCUGGUGCAACUAAAUCAAGUUGAAUAAUCGAUAAACUGCCAUCUAGUAACUUAGAAGAGGAAAACGCAUUACCAUCAAAUUAACUGGGUUGUAUAAACGUGGGUUUUAUAUAUUAUUUGCACAUUUUAUUAACUUAUUUUUCAGAGUCAGUGUGAUUGAAUGAGUGAUAUUGAAUUAAAGGGCAAUAAUGUAUUUCAGAUGGUUUCCUGCCUUUGAAUCAAGGAGGCGGAGUCAGUCCGUCCAUUCUUUAAUGAAAUCUAAAUUCAGCUGCAGAACAUUCGAGCGUCACUCAGAGGAACACGGUUCGAGGUGAUGGUUAUUCUUCUGUCACAAGGUUCAGACAAUUAAAGGGAAAGUUUCACAUUUUGGGAAAUAACUUUGUUAACUUCAAAUAUCCAGGUUGUGUUUAGCCUUUAGCUUAGCAUAAAAACAGAGUGUAAUGGGACACUGUCUAACGCAGCUCCAUUCAAAUCUAAUUAUCCCUGAGAACAACUUUUCUGAUUGACACGUCGCCGUAAGUGUGAUUAGCGGUGAAGCUAAAUAUUAACCUGAAAGACUUUUCUGGAAAGUUUUAACUUUUGGACCAAUCACAGGAAGUAGAGACGCUAUUAAACAGUAGAAGAAGAAAAAGAAGAGGAAGCAGCUGCAGUCUUCUUCUCUGACGAUAAAGUGAAUGAACCAUCAUGACGUUACCAUGACAACCACAUGAAGCUUCAUUCAUUUUCCCCAUUCAAAUUCUUUAGUCCUUAAGUUACUCUGUGAAACUAAAACUGAUCAGAUGAAACAUGAACAAACAGGAAGCUUCGGACUCAGACAGGAAACGUCCUGAAACAAGAAGACAAACGAAAACUUUUCCCAAAAUGUGGAACGUUGAUCUGAAUCAUUAUUAAACGUUAGUUAACGUGAACUCUGCUGUUUGGUCGUCUUGAGACUCGGUGAUGAUUAAUGAUGAGCUGGUCGUUGUUCUGCAUACUGUGUGUGCAUUAAUAAUUCUGUCAACAAUAAGGAAAGACUUCCACCUGCGCUCAGUCUUCAUCAGAUCCUGUUCUCAUGCAUCGUCGUCUCACUUCAGACCUUUUCACCAAACUCUCAUUUUCAUGCAAAAACAAGAAAGAGCAAUAGUGUGAGUGUUUCCUGAGCUUCAGAGCUGAAGCCUCUUCCUCUUUUUUAUUUCCACCUUUUGAUUAUUGCCAUGUUUAUUUUGACAAUCCUCAACUGUGAUCUAUUUUUGAUAAAAUAAAACUUCAACCCUGA
This is a non-coding RNA of Paralichthys olivaceus (Japanese flounder), 2829 nucleotides long. The record is from RefSeq and is a predicted model, not a curated record. Lineage: Eukaryota; Metazoa; Chordata; Actinopteri; Pleuronectiformes; Paralichthyidae.